GGUUUUGGUGGCUUGGGGGCUGAUAGGCGCUUUAUGGGAGAUCUUACAUCCUCUAGCUGCUAACCGAUCGCCUAAUGAUAUUAUUCCAUUUCUGCCGUGAUCAUCAUCUAUGUAAAUUGCUAUAACAUGUCUCCAUUCAUAGUAUUCAACUAUGUCUGCUAUGGCAGCCAUUUGAUAAAGAUCACUGUGAGUUGUACGGACAAAGAACGGAUAUUGAAGUGAAGAUAAUGUCGGAUCAGUAGCUGUGAAUGACAGAAGAGGAACUUGAAGCUCGUUCGCCACAUGGGAAAUCACAUGAGCUAAAACCGAGCUUUGGGGGCCGAUUAAGGCCACGGCUUCUGUCUCCAUGACUUAUUUACCUGCCAUCAUACUUAGGAACCCACUGUAAUUGGAGUCAUGAAAAGUUAUUUUCAACUUGGUUCCUUUAAGUAUAGUUGGAUCAGAAUUAACAUCUUCAAUUGCAGCCUGUAAAGCUAUUUUCGCCACUUUUCCAAUGAUGGAAUCAAAUGUCAAUAUAGACGCAACAUUUACGACAUCCGGUCUUGUAGAAACACUGGUAUUGUUCAUUCCUUCAGUAAAACAUCCACUGAAAUUAACCACCAAAACUACCAAUGCCCAAACCAAAUUCAUAGGCAUUUCUCUAACAAACAAGCCGGU
Molecule: long non-coding RNA, 657 nt
Filed under: Helianthus annuus (common sunflower)
Lineage: Eukaryota; Viridiplantae; Streptophyta; Magnoliopsida; Asterales; Asteraceae
Description: sRNA HanXRQr2_Chr07g0293681
Source: RNAcentral